This 519-nucleotide ribosomal RNA is filed under the name uncultured eukaryote. RNAcentral's name for it is "SSU rRNA". It matches the Rfam family "Eukaryotic small subunit ribosomal RNA", at positions 1161 to 1693 of the family's 1831-position model. The record is from RNAcentral.
AGGGCACCACCAGGAGUGGAGCCUGCGGCUUAAUUUGACUCAACACGGGAAAUCUCACCAGGCCCGGACACUGGAAGGAUUGACAGAUUGAGAGCUCUUUCUCGAUUCGGUGGGUGGUGGUGCAUGGCCGUUCUUAGUUGGUGGAGUGAUUUGUCUGGUUAAUUCUGAUAACGAACGAGACUCUGUCCUGCUAAAAUAGUUCCCGCGUCCUUUGUUGCGCGGGAAAUUUUUUCUUAGAGGGACUGGCGGCGUCUAGCCGCCACGAGAUUGAGCAAUAACAGGUCUGUGAUGCCCUUAGAUGUUCUGGGCCCACACGCCGCGCUACACUUGAAGGGAUCAGCGGUGUCUUCCCUUCCCGAGAAGGGACGGGUAACCCCGCUGAACCCCCUUCGUGGUAGGGAUUCGGGGCUUGCAAUUAUUCCCCGUGAACCAGGAAUUCCCAGUAAGCGCAAGUCAUAAGCUUGCGUUGAUUACGUCCCUGCCCUUUGUACACACCGCCCGUCGCUACUACCGAUUGAA